UGAUUCUGGUUGUAUGUGUUUUUAAUGA
This 28-nucleotide small RNA is filed under the name Bombyx mori (domestic silkworm). Its description in RNAcentral is "ovarian small RNA-33070". Lineage: Eukaryota; Metazoa; Arthropoda; Insecta; Lepidoptera; Bombycidae. The record is from RNAcentral.